CGCGAGGUGGAGCAGCAUGGUAGCUCGUCGGGCUCAUAACCCGAAGGUCGUCGGUUCAAAUCCGACCCCCGCAACCA
RNAcentral lists this transfer RNA (77 nucleotides) under Aeromonas salmonicida subsp. masoucida. RNAcentral describes it as "tRNA-Met". It matches the Rfam family "tRNA". From Rfam's summary of the family: Transfer RNA (tRNA) molecules are approximately 80 nucleotides in length. Their secondary structure includes four short double-helical elements and three loops (D, anti-codon, and T loops). Further hydrogen bonds mediate the characteristic L-shaped molecular structure. tRNAs have two regions of fundamental functional importance: the anti-codon, which is responsible for specific mRNA codon recognition, and the 3' end, to which the tRNAs corresponding amino acid is attached (by aminoacyl-tRNA synthetases). tRNAs cope with the degeneracy of the genetic code in two manners: having more than one tRNA (with a specific anti-codon) for a particular amino acid; and 'wobble' base-pairing, i.e. permitting non-standard base-pairing at the 3rd anti-codon position. Lineage: Bacteria; Pseudomonadati; Pseudomonadota; Gammaproteobacteria; Aeromonadales; Aeromonadaceae. The record is from RNAcentral.